AUAAAGUGUAUGAGUCACAAGGGUUGUCAGCUUAUAAAGCAGUUGGAAUCCUUUCAUUGUUGCAUGUGCUGUUCUGAAGCAGUUUGUACUUUGACAGAUUCAUAGUGACUUCUAAAAGGACGAAAAGAGACUGCAAGAACUGAGUAACUACACUUUUAAAAAAAGCCUUCAUUGCAUGUAACAUUUUUGGGAGCGGAAAUUGAAAAUCAUCAACACAUCACAGCAGACAACAAAAACGAGUUCAAGAGGACCUGUCCAGCACUUCUGGAACAUCUGAGGUUCAAGAUUAAAAGCUUUUCCUGAGACCGUACAACAGAAGAGCAGUCAAAACACCAUCAGAUUUACAGUACUUGUUGUGUGCUGCUGUGUAGACCUCAGAAUAUGGCUGAAGAUGAUCAAAUCCGUGGACUGCUUGACGGUGUCCGUGAGCGUGACAGAAAGCUUCUUAUCUCCUGUCUUUCAUUGAGCUUUUUUUUAAUGCUUUUGGAAGCUUUGUUUGAUAAAGAUUUCUCAUGUCCAUGCGAUGUUGAGCUGAAUGCACAAAUGGUCAACCUCAUUUUUGCUGGACCUUUUGUUUUUGUUUUUGCUUUAAUUUGUUAUAUUAGUUUCGAUACCGAUAUAAAGAGUAGAUCUGAACUGCUCAAAACUUUUUUGCUUUGCCUGCUUCCACCUCUUUUGUGGAUCACUCUUGUGUUCCUUGACGGUGAUUAUGUUGCCUGUACAAAAACAUACUGGAAUGGACUGUAUGUUUAUGAUGAUCAGCAACAGUUCAAAUGGUGUAAACCGAUCAGUUCAGUCCCUGGGAAAAAUGACACCGAACUACGAGCUCUGACUCAGGGCUUUGUUGUUGAGUCACAGAUGACCGGUGUUAAGAUGCUUCUUGGUUUGGGCAUUACAGGAAUGGUCCCUGUAUUUAUUUUGAUCCUGAUAGUAGUUUGUGAAGUAUAUGCACUGUCGAAUGCUAAAUGACGUGAAACGAAACCAACAAUUAGUUGGGAGAAGAAAUUUCCUCUGAUACCUCUGAUCAUUGGAGGGGUAUAUUACCACACUUUAGAUGAUAGGUUAUGGAAAAUGUUAAGAAAUUUUGUCAUAAAGAAACAUUUAUCUUUGAAGACAAAUAAAGUACCUGAUUUCUGUGGUUAUAAAUUGUGACACAGUCCUUUUGGUUGUGAUUUUAUCUGCUGGUGUGAAAGACCAAACAGAAAUAUUAUUGUCCUGUUUUAAUAUGGUCACAUAAAAACUUUUUAUACAUCAAUAAGAACCAAAGUAUUAUGUAUUUUCAAACUCCCCCUGGUGACCACUGGGGCGCUGUAAUUAGAUUCCUUGAUCACAUGGAAUUUGUAUAUUUGUAUAAUUUGUAUAAGCAUAAAAACACCUGCACCAAGAGUUUUUUUUAGGUUGUAUAUGUAUAUGAUCACUCACAGUCUUCGUGUAAUCAUGAAUGUUGUCUGUGGCCUCCUUGAAGAUGUUCAUAUCUGUGGCAGACAACCCUAAAGACUGGCCAUGGCACAGUCAAAGAUUUGUAAAGGUGUAAAUCACCCUUCAAGUGUAAGAAAAAUUAUCACAGUGUUAAUUCAUGUAUUUUGAAGCUGCAGCUUAAUGCUAAUGCAAAAUAAAUAGCAUCAGUAUUCUUCAGA
Molecule: non-coding RNA, 1637 nt
Organism: Pimephales promelas (fathead minnow)
Lineage: Eukaryota; Metazoa; Chordata; Actinopteri; Cypriniformes; Leuciscidae
Source: RefSeq, a predicted model, not a curated record